This 60-nucleotide transfer RNA is filed under the name Ornithodoros tabajara. RNAcentral describes it as "tRNA-Glu". Lineage: Eukaryota; Metazoa; Arthropoda; Arachnida; Ixodida; Argasidae. The record is from RNAcentral.
AUUUUUAUAGUGUAUUAAACACCUAACAUUUUCAUUGUUAAAAAGCCUUGGCUAAAAAUA